UUGGCAUUAGAAGUUUUUAUUUGGAAUUUGACCCACAAUCUAUACAAGUUAUUUACAAGGCAUGAAAAUGGAAAACAGCACAAAAUACAAUUGAGGUAUAAGCUAAGAGCACAGUAUGUCAUGUUUCAAUAAAUAUAAUUCAAAUUUGUAAACUAAGUAACCAGAUAGAUGAGUCUUAUUUUUUAGUAAAACCAUAUAAAAUAUUUAUUUCACGUGAGGUAGAGGACAGUUUCGUAUGUCAUGUAAUGCAACCAACCACAGAAAUUUUAAUCAAAGUCAAAUUAUAGUCAAUAUAAUCAGCGAUUUGUUUCAACAGUCGCAGAACAAGUUAAUUCAAUUACUGCUUUCACAGGUUAGAAAUUCAGAAAUAAUUUAAGACUGCUAUGUUGGCUUAAAAUUAUCAGGAUAAACGAGUACUUUUAACAGAAGUUAAAAGCCAAGUAUGUUUUACUUCUCACAGUCGAAUUCUCCAAAAUGUUCUAGAUUUCACAACUGUUUUAGUAAGAUGUUUCUACUAGAACUACUUUAAGUAUGCUGUGCUUUAUUUUCAAGUGAGGUAUCUAUUGGAGAAAAAAUCUUAUAAAUUUCUUACAUUUAACUUUAAACACUAUUUCAUUUUCUGGGCUUAAUUUUUAAAUUUGUCUUUACAUUUCAUCACCUUCUAAUUAAAAAAACAGUAGCACUGGCCAGAGAUUUAGCUCAGUGGUUCUGCCUCCUGUCUCGCAAGCACAAGGACCCAGGUUCGAUCCCUGAUUCCACAAAAAACAAAAUAACAGUAGCACUAUAUAAGACAUUUAAUUUUAUUUCUAAACAGGCUCCAAAUUGCAUUAUAUAAAGCCAUUUAAGUGGAAAGAUUUUAAAAAAACAAAAACUGUCCUUUAGACAAAAUGCAAUAUAAAAUAACUAUAUGCUUUUAUUCCAAUAGUGGAAAUGCUUAAGUAACCUAUACUAGAAAAACCUUUUAAGUUGUUUAAAUUAUUCAAUUCCACAACAUAUAAUACAGCAGUUAUAUGUCCCUUAUUGCUGCCAGUCAAUAAAAACUAUUAACAAGUAGUUCCAAGCCCAGGAACAGAUGUACAGUAUCAGCACAAUUUUUCAUUAUAUUUUUAAUGUCAUGUGGAUUAAAUGAAUAAAGGGCAAAUAAAAAUGAGUGUUCUUCCCUAAAUAAUCAAAACAAAAGCCUUAUCAUUGAGAAGAAAAUUUCAGAAGCUGAUCAAAAACCUUCAGUGCUAAUUUCGCAAUUUAUUCUAGGGAAAUAUCUUAAGUGUGUUUUACAUUAGAGUUUCCUUUUUCAUUUUAUUUUCCUUCAAACAGAAACCACUGAUGUGCAAAAAAAAAACCCCAAAAAACCAAAAACUGGUUGUUCUGUUGACUUCUAAAAGAUAUGGAUAACCUGCAAGUAUCAUAGAACUUGGUUUAUUUUACCUACUUUAAUAACUGCUUUAAACUUCAAUAUUUACAAAUGAUUUUAUAUCUAAACUGGUAAUAUAUUAAAUGUUAUAAAAUUAGCUCAAGAAGCAUAAAACAUCAUAAUUCUCCCAGACACAAGAAAUGCAAGCAAAACAAGUUUUAUAAAAAUUAAAAGCACAAGCCAAAUUUAAGUUGGUACAAUCUUUUCAUAGCACUAAAGGGUUGCAUUUGUAAAAUCUGUGUUGUUUAAGAGCUUCCUCAAUGACAGCAGGUUUUAUAUUUACUACCUUUAAAGAUUUGGUUUAUUAAACUAUAGAAACUAUGACCACCCAAUUUAACAUCACUCAUCACCUAGUAAGCUAAUAUUCUUUCUAAAGAUGCUCUAGCAAAACUAUAGGCUGCUGUUCCUUUACUGCAGCUUUUUAGAGUAAAUGUUUUUAUUUUUCCUAAAAAGAAUAUUAUGAACUCUGAGAAAAAAUUGGCCUGCCUAGUGAACUUGGCACACAAAAACUAACACCAAAACAAACUUUAAAUUAGCAACCAGUACACAAAAUGAGCAUGCAAAGAAUAGAAGAAUAAGUUCUAUAUGGGUAAGACUUUUAGCAGAGGUCAUUUUUUAAAGUAUUACAAAAUCUCUAUAUUGUUUUCAAGCUAUGUGGUGCAAUUUAAAUUAAAGUACUUUUAACAGCAAUAUUUAC
Molecule: long non-coding RNA, 2108 nt
Organism: Heterocephalus glaber (naked mole-rat)
Lineage: Eukaryota; Metazoa; Chordata; Mammalia; Rodentia; Bathyergidae
Source: Ensembl